Molecule: ribosomal RNA, 515 nt
Filed under: uncultured bacterium
Lineage: Bacteria
Description: bacterial SSU rRNA
Rfam family: Bacterial small subunit ribosomal RNA
Source: RNAcentral
GAUGAACGCUAGCGGGAGGCUUAACACAUGCAAGUCGAGGGGCAGCACGGCGUAGCAAUAUGCUGGUGGCGACCGGCGCACGGGUGAGUAACGCGUAUGCAACCUACCCUGUACAGGGGGAUAACCCGGAGAAAUCCGGACUAAUACCCCAUAAUUACCUAUAUGGGCAUCCAUAAAGGUUUAAAGCGGCGACGCGGUACGGGACGGGCAUGCGUAACAUUAGCUAGUUGGCGGGGCAACGGCCCACCAAGGCGACGAUGUUUAGGGGACCUGAGAGGGUGAUCCCCCACACUGGUACUGAGACACGGACCAGACUCCUACGGGAGGCAGCAGUGAGGAAUAUUGGUCAAUGGGCGCAAGCCUGAACCAGCCAUCCCGCGUGGAGGAAGACGGCGCUAUGCGUUGUAAACUUCUUUUCAAGGGGAAGAAUUGUCCCGACGUGUCGGGGCUUGCCGGUACCUUUGGAAUAAGCAUCGGCUAACUCCGUGCCAGCAGCCGCGAUAAUACGUAGCGUG